CUGUAAGAAUUCUUGCAAGAGGGAAUGUGAAUCCUGGAGCUAAUUCUGCCCGUUUCCACCAGCCCCCUCCCUGAGGGGCUCAGCUGGCCGUGCUAAAAGCCACAGUAGAAAGGUGAAAACGAAUAUUACAAGAUCUUGGAAGCAUCUGAGGUUUAAUGAGGACUUUCCAGCAUUCCAGACUGCUGCCCUGCAAUGAAGCUCUGAGUCACGGUCUUUGGGGCUAAGGUAUUGGCAACAAUGUGGAACCCCAGGACAGCUAACCUGACUAACCUUCGCUGUAACCAGGAUCCCAAAAGGGGUCUGGCAUGAAAUCAGAGCAUAGAGAAAGACUUGCUUGUUAAUGGAAACAGGAAAGAAAAAAAGGGUUUCCAACAAAUUGCAACAGACUUUCCACCAUUCUAAAGAACCCACCUUCCUUAUCGACCAAGCCGUUCUAUCUAGUGACUCCCAUUCCAGCCUUUUGCCAGAAACAGAGCAUGUCAAUCCUGCUGGAAAAAUAAAGAUAGGACCUCUGACAAGACCUGGAACAGUGAUACUCUCAAAACGGUCCAGUAGGAGAAUUAUGUCAGAAAGUCCGCACAGCCCCCCUGUGAUACCAUCCCGCAGGCCUGGAUUCCGGGUGUGCUAUAUCUGUGGCCGAGAAUUUGGCUCCCAAUCAAUUGCCAUUCAUGAACCCCAGUGCUUGGAGAAGUGGCAUAUUGAAAACAGCAAGUUUCCCAAACACCUGCGGAGGCCAGAACCCUCCAAACCACAGCCUCUCAGGGGCAGUGGGUCCUACAAUCUUCAGGCCGUGAACGAAGCAGCAUUUCAAAGUUCCCAGGCUCAGCUGCUGCCCUGUGAAUCCUGUGGCCGCACAUUCUUGCCAGAUCGUCGUCUUGUUCACCAGAGGAGCUGCAAGCCGAAGGAUGAGGGGCCCAGAGCACCAAACCCCAACCGUUUUGAUGAUCUGACUGGUGCCAGGAAAGCUGCUGGUGGCAUCCCAGCCCGACCAAAGACUCUCAUCUGCUACAUUUGUGGCAGGGAAUUUGGCACUUUGUCCCUUCCUAUUCAUGAGCCCAAAUGCCUAGAAAAGUGGCAAAUACAAAACGACCGGCUCCCCAGGGAGCUCCGCCGACCACUCCCACGGAAGCCUCAGCCCCUUCCAACUGGACAGUCCAACCAAGAGGAGCCAAGUCAAGCUCAGCUGGUGCCCUGUGCAAAUUGCGGCCGGACCUUUGCCCCAGACCGCCUUCUGGUACACCAGAGAAGCUGUAGGGUUCAACCAAGUGCACCAAAAAUUCAGAAUUUGACCUUAGGGAGGAAAGGUGGCCUGAAAGAGUCCACAAAUUCCAAGCAGCAAAGGAACAUGGCAGUGCCCACUGUGACUGAUAAGCCAGCAAUGAUUAGGCGUCCACCAACAAUCAUCUGCUACAUUUGUGGCCGUGAAUAUGGAACAAAAUCCAUUGCCAUCCACGAGCCACAAUGUCUGAAAAAAUGGCAUAACGAAAACAACUUGUUGCCCAAAGAGUUAAGGAGAUCAGAACCCAAGAAACCAGAAGUCAGGACCAUUACUGCAGUUCUCUGUGUUUUCAAAAAAUCUGUUUUCUUCACUUCUGACCGUAUCCGUUUUUCUGCUUGAGCAUAAUUAUCACAAGUCUAGAAGAUCAGAGAGUAAUGACUGGCUUGAAGGCCCUCGGGGAUUCAUUAAUCAGUUACUGCCCACAGAUGGAAAAGCCAAAGGUUUCUAUGAUCUCGAUGCCUUAAAUGAAGCUGCUUGGACAAGCGCCCUGAGCCAGUUGGUUCCCUGUAAUAUUUGUGGGCGUACCUUCCUGCCAGACAGACUGAUUGUUCACCAACGAUCCUGUAAGCCAAAAGUCGCCAAGUAAAGCCCUUUCUCCCAGCAA
Molecule: RNA transcript, 1883 nt
Organism: Panthera uncia (snow leopard)
Lineage: Eukaryota; Metazoa; Chordata; Mammalia; Carnivora; Felidae
Gene: ZNF475
Gene name: zinc finger protein 474
Exons: 5
Source: RefSeq, a predicted model, not a curated record